RNAcentral lists this ribosomal RNA (486 nucleotides) under uncultured bacterium. RNAcentral's name for it is "partial 16S ribosomal RNA". It matches the Rfam family "Bacterial small subunit ribosomal RNA", at positions 30 to 507 of the family's 1533-position model. The record is from RNAcentral.
AUUGAACGCUGGCGGCAUGCCUUACACAUGCAAGUCGAACGGCAGCACGGGUGCUUGCACCUGGUGGCGAGUGGCGAACGGGUGAGUAAUACAUCGGAACAUGUCCUGUAGUGGGGGAUAGCCCGGCGAAAGCCGGAUUAAUACCGCAUACGAUCUACGGAUGAAAGCGGGGGACCUUCGGGCCUCGCGCUAUGGGGUUGGCCGAUGUCUGAUUAGCUAGUUGGUGGGGUAAAGGCCAACCAAGGCGACGAUCAGUAGCUGGUCUGAGAGGACGACCAGCCACACUGGGACUGAGACACGGCCCAGACUCCUACGGGAGGCAGCAGUGGGGAAUUUUGGACAAUGGGCGAAAGCCUGAUCCAGCAAUGCCGCGUGUGUGAAGAAGGCCUUCGGGUUGUAAAGCACUUUUGUCCGGAAAGAAAUCCUUGGCCCUAAUACGGUCGGGGGAUGACGGUACCGGAAGAAUAAGCACCGGCUAACUACGUG